UCAUCUCCAGGCUAGGGAGGAAGGCGGGAUAAAAUCUCUCUCAAUAUGUCAGAUUGCUGGGUCUGCUCCACCUGCAUGGCUUGAACCCUGGUCUCCAAGCUCCCUAAAUGGUCCCAUGUCGCAUUUACUCACCACUGUAUACCAUCCAUCCUGCCAACGUACAUUCUCAAUCGCCCAUCAAAGGUACUCAUCUCUCUUCUCGCUGUAAGGAACUCACUGCUGACAUUGGAUGCGAAGUUUCUUGUGAUUGCCAUAUCAUUCUGCACCUGUUGAAUGGUGGUACUCAUUGCUCCAAAUGAUUGCUGGAGACUCUGCAUGUCUCGGCUGUAUCCUGUCAUAGUGGCAAACAUCUACCUCAAUAACUGGGUAUCAAUGUCAACCAGUGGUGGAGGAACUUAUGGCAUCUCGAAGUUCUCAGCUGCUUGUCCUUCCUUAGCCUGCUGCUGUCGGCGUCGCUCGUUUUCUAACUUUUGUUGAUGUUUAACUCUGGCUCAAUCCUGGGCCUCUAGUGCGAGGCACUUGAUAUAGGGACUUGUUUUUCUAGUGCUUCCCCAUGCUGGACUUGUAUGCCUGCAGCUCUACAUAUCCCACUUAUUAAACUUAGGAAAAUCAGCGAAGUGUGCCUGUCUCCCCAUGUGCCUAUAAUCUAUAUCUGGUUGUAGAUGUAUGUGGCUAAGUCAAUCUUAUUUCCCCGAACCAAAUGAUAGAUAAAUGCCACCUUUUGAUUUGUGAAUGUCGUCCUAUGGGAUAUGGGCUCGAUAGUCCGGGCUGUGCCAGAUGUGAAAGCAGCCUUCUCUUUUCCUUUUGAUGUUCUUUUUGGAGGCAUCCUACAAAGGUGCAAAAAUAACAUUCAUUAAAAUUCUUGUUGAAAAACGAGAGAUGGAAUGAGAUUAGCAAGGCAUAUAUUUCACAAAUCCCCCAAACUUACUUCAACAUGCAUAAAUGACUCAUUGGUGUGCAAUCUUCAAAACAUGAUAUUCAAGAUAGUGUAAAUAGUGUGACAAUAUGAAAAACUAAGAAAACUAGGUCUAAACAUGCACAUUUGAAAAAUUGGACCCACGACCAAGUGCGCAUGUUCGGCCCCGGAUAUCAUCGAAAAAUAUCGAAAUUUUUCCGGGCAAUCUCCGGGCAUAUGAAAGUAUUCAAUGAGGUCUACCAUAUACUCAAAUUUUAAAUCAAUUGGAUUUCGUUUGGUAUGUCAAAUUAUGGUGUAAAGUAGGGGACGGAGGGUGCCGUGACUUGGCU
RNAcentral lists this long non-coding RNA (1245 nucleotides) under Olea europaea (common olive). Its description in RNAcentral is "long non-coding RNA (OEUR_LNC009775)". Lineage: Eukaryota; Viridiplantae; Streptophyta; Magnoliopsida; Lamiales; Oleaceae. The record is from RNAcentral.